Molecule: ribosomal RNA, 491 nt
Filed under: uncultured bacterium
Lineage: Bacteria
Description: partial 16S ribosomal RNA
Rfam family: Bacterial small subunit ribosomal RNA
Source: RNAcentral
AGUGAACGCUGGCGGUAGGCCUAACACAUGCAAGUCGAACGGCAGCACAGUAAGAGCUUGCUCUUACGGGUGGCGAGUGGCGGACGGGUGAGGAAUACAUCGGAAUCUACUUUUUCGUGGGGGAUAACGUAGGGAAACUUACGCUAAUACCGCAUACGACCUACGGGUGAAAGCAGGGGAUCUUCGGACCUUGCGCGAUUGAAUGAGCCGAUGUCGGAUUAGCUAGUUGGCGGGGUAAAGGCCCACCAAGGCGACGAUCCGUAGCUGGUCUGAGAGGAUGAUCAGCCACACUGGAACUGGGACACGGUCCAGACGCCUACGGAAGGCAGCAGUGGGGAAUAUUGGACAAUGGGCGCAAGCCUGAUCCAGCCAUACCGCGUGGGUGAAGAAGGCCUUCGGGUUGUAAAGCCCUUUUGUUGGGAAAGAAAAGCAGCAGGUUAAUACCCCGCUGUUCUGACGGUACCCAAAGAAUAAGCACCGGCUAACUUCGU